AACCGAGUUUAUUAUGUGAUCAACUUACGCCUUAAGGAUCAAAACCAACCACAGCUGGAUCACCCUCGAUGGCACGCUAACAAGUACUGUACGUACCUACACAGCGAACUACAGCAGAAACACAGUAGCAGUAAUUUGGUUCAUCCACUCUGUACUCCUAUCCUAUGGCAUACAACAAAUCUUGAGACUCCACUCUUUCUGCUUACAGCUAACAACAUAUUCAGAGGGUAAAGUAAGUUUCUGGGUAGAUACAAGUCUUUUGUGGCAACAAAAAUCCUGCUUAAUCGUGAAGCAAUGUAGUACUAACAAACAAGAUAUCAUCCUCGUUGUAAGAUGCAACAAAGUAUGCUUGUGAACUAUAGCAACAAAGAAGGGGCUAGCUCUGGAAACACCUUUGAAAAUGUACAGACUACAAUGUACCAGGACUAAGACAUGCUGGAAGAUUGAGUCUCUUCUUUGGUCUCAAUACAUACAGCUGCUAGAAGACAGUCACAGCUCUUUAUUUGCCGGUCCACAGGAAAGAAUGCCGCCGCCUUCGUGUCCCCGCUUCUCUUGCUGUGUGCACUAAUGUCUAACAUUCUCCGGGACAAUCCUUCCAUCAAACCAUGAACUGGACUUCGGAUUGAUGAACCUUGACCAGGCUGAAAACCAGGCUGAAUACACACCUCCGAUCAUUUCUGUGAUAUAUCUUCCAUCUAGGGAAACAAAAAAUCUCCCGCCUAAGGUUUCGANN
Molecule: long non-coding RNA, 733 nt
Filed under: Hordeum vulgare
Lineage: Eukaryota; Viridiplantae; Streptophyta; Magnoliopsida; Poales; Poaceae
Description: long non-coding RNA (HVUL_LNC001362)
Source: RNAcentral